Molecule: ribosomal RNA, 460 nt
Filed under: uncultured bacterium
Lineage: Bacteria
Description: partial 16S ribosomal RNA
Rfam family: Bacterial small subunit ribosomal RNA
Source: RNAcentral
CCUACGGGUGGCAGCAGUGAGGAAUAUUGGUCAAUGGACGAGAGUCUGAACCAGCCAAGUAGCGUGAAGGAUGACUGCCCUAUGGGUUGUAAACUUCUUUUAUAUGGGAAUAAAACGUUCCACGUGUGGGGUUUUGUAUGUACCAUAUGAAUAAGGAUCGGCUAACUCCGUGCCAGCAGCCGCGGUAAUACGGAGGAUCCGAGCGUUAUCCGGAUUUAUUGGGUUUAAAGGGAGCGUAGGGGGAUUGUUAAGUCAGUUGUGAAAGUGUGCGGCUCAACCGUAAAAUUGCAGUUGAAACUGGCAGGCUUGAGUACAGGAGAGGUGUGCGGAAUUCGUGGUGUAGCGGUGAAAUGCUUAGAUAUCACGAAGAACUCCGAUUGCGAAGGCAGUACACCGGACUGCAACUGACGCUGAGGCUCGAAAGUGUGGGUAUCGAACAGGAUUAGAUACCCGUGUAGUC